UGGUUAAUUGUGAACUAGUAAGUGGUGACUGUGAUUAAGUAUGUGCUCAAGUGUAAAAAUGACCAAAAUCUGUGGGAAUGAUGAUUUUUAACAUGUCAUGUUUCAUUAAAAAUCCCUGAGGAAAAUGUUGGAAGGUCUAGGUUGUGUUUUGUUUGUUUCAUUUUUGUUUUGCUCGAGGACUAGCAAAAGCUAAGUGUGGGGGAAUUUGAUAAGAGCAUAUUUAUGCGACUGAGUUAGCUUGUUCUCAUGCAUUUAUGUUGUUAUUUCUUAGUUAAUUAUGUAUGUUAUGUUGGAAAUGUGCCCUAAAACCAAUCAUAUGAUGAUAUUUUACGGACAUUUCACAUGUUAAACUAAUCUAGUUUAAUAUCAAGGGCAAAGAUUAUUGUUUGAGCCGUCUCAUAUAAAUGUUAUAUGCUUAAAUGAUAAGUCCAAGGAAUAUGUGAUUGGGAGAAUACGAUCUAAAGAAGUUAGAUUCAUGAGACCAUUCUUUCGUAGA
Molecule: long non-coding RNA, 496 nt
Filed under: Malus domestica (apple)
Lineage: Eukaryota; Viridiplantae; Streptophyta; Magnoliopsida; Rosales; Rosaceae
Description: long non-coding RNA (MDOM_LNC021251)
Source: RNAcentral